This 526-nucleotide ribosomal RNA is filed under the name uncultured bacterium. RNAcentral's name for it is "bacterial SSU rRNA". It matches the Rfam family "Bacterial small subunit ribosomal RNA", at positions 355 to 896 of the family's 1533-position model. The record is from RNAcentral.
UAGGGAAUAUUGCUCGAUGGGCGAAAGCCUGAAGCAGCAACGCCGCGUGUGCGAUGAAGGUCUUCGGAUCGUAAAGCACUUUUCUGAGAGAUGAGAAAGGACAGUAUCUCAGGAAUAAGUCUCGGCUAACUACGUGCCAGCAGCCGCGGUAAAACGUAGGAGGCGAGCGUUAUCCGGAUUCACUGGGCGUAAAGCGCGUGCAGGUGGUCUGGCAAGUUGGAUGUGAAAUCUCCCGGCUCAACUGGGAGGGGUCGUUCAAUACUACCGGACUUGAGAGCAGUAGAGGGGGGUGGAAUUGCUGGUGUAGUGGUGAAAUGCGUAGAUAUCAGCAGGAACACCUGUGGCGAAAGCGGCCCCCUGGUCUGCUCCUGACACUCAGACGCGAAAGCUAGGGGAGUGAACGGGAUUAGAAACCCCGGUAAUCCUAGCCGUAAACGAUGGAUGCUAGGUGUGGGUGGUAUUGACCCCAUCCGUGCCGAAGCUAACGCGUUAAGCAUCCCGCCUGGGGACUACAGCCGCAAGGUUA